CAGCAGCCACGGUAAUUCGAAGGUCCCGAGCGUUGUUCGGAAUCACUGGGCGUAAAGGGAGCGUAGGCGGCGUGGUAAGUCAGAUGUGAAAUCCCGGGGCUCAACCCCGGAACUGCAUCCGAUACUGCCGUGCUAGAGGAUUGGAGAGGUAGCUGGAAUUCUUGGUGUAGCAGUGAAAUGCGUGGAGAUCAAGAGGAACACUCGUGGCGAAAGCGAGCUACUGGACAAUAUCUGACGCUGAGGCACGAAGGCCAGGGUAGCGAAAGGGAUUAGAUACCCCCGUAGUCCCUGUCUCUUAUAC
This 301-nucleotide ribosomal RNA is filed under the name uncultured bacterium. RNAcentral describes it as "partial 16S ribosomal RNA". It matches the Rfam family "Bacterial small subunit ribosomal RNA", at positions 509 to 807 of the family's 1533-position model. The record is from RNAcentral.